GUUUAGUGGGGACUGUUAGUGUUAGGUCAAGAGGUUGGACUCGAUGAUCUUGCGGUCUCUUCCAACCUAGAAAUUCUGUGAUUCUGUGAUUCUGUGACAUCAAGAAGAAGUUCUUCCCUGAGAGGGUGGUCGCACACUGGAACAGGCUCCUCAGGGUAGCAGUCACUGCACCAAGCCUGUUGGAGUUUAAGUAUUUGGACUGUGCACUUAGUCACGUGGUCUAAACUUUUGGGUAGACCUGUGUGGAGCCAGGAGUUGGACUCGAUGAUUCUUACGGGUCCCUUCCAACUCGGAAUAUUCUAUGAUUCUGUGAUUCUGUAAUGUCCUGAUACAGGCCAAGUAGUUAAGACAAUUCCCAAAUAGUUAUUUGUUUCACUCCUAGUGCCUACAGUGACAGCUGACUGCAUUUUGCUUGAACAAAAUGUGGGGAAAGCAGCAUUGCUUCCACAGAGAGCUAACAGUUAAAACGGAUCUUUAAUGCCACCUGAUACCUAAGUUUGGACUUUCCCCAGCAGAUUAAUAUCCUCUGUUGUGGUUGGGCAGGAUGGCUUCCAGGGAAUUGGUUCCUUAAAUUUCAGGUUACCAAGGUCAAAACCACUGCAAAUUGUAUUCAAACUGAACAUUUUGUUGUUCUAUAAAUCAUCAGAGAAGCUUUGAAGACUAAAUAGCUUUCCACAGCAAAAGAAACAGUAUUGCAUGAGAAGGGACAGACGCUGCAAAACAAAUGUAGACAGCCUAAUAUUCUCUAACUGAGUUCAACUGUUGAAGGUAACUUCAAAGAAUCCUGGUUCAAAUUCAGGUCUGGAGUUCAUCAGAAAUUUAAAAUGCUUCCCCAAGAUACCAGAAUGAGCAAAAUCUUAUGUGGAUGUCAAAGGAAGAAAAUGACAUUAGACGAGUAUUAUUUUAUGCCUGAAGUAUACCACUUUACAUGGUGGCUUUUAGAAUUCUGAUUUACAGAAAACUCUUCUUGUUAUAGAGAGAAAAUAGCUAUAGCAGCCAAUUAAAGAAUCAAACUCCUUCCUUAAAAUGUACCAGAAUCUUAACAAAGUCCACUAAAAUAUGGCUUUUAGGAGGACAUUAGCAAUUGUUAGUUGAAAUGCCAAAUAAACCACUAAAACUUUCCA
This 1124-nucleotide long non-coding RNA is filed under the name Anas platyrhynchos platyrhynchos (common mallard). Its description in RNAcentral is "lncRNA (ENSAPLG00000023633.1)". Lineage: Eukaryota; Metazoa; Chordata; Aves; Anseriformes; Anatidae. The record is from RNAcentral.